RNAcentral lists this ribosomal RNA (454 nucleotides) under Enterococcus casseliflavus. RNAcentral describes it as "bacterial SSU rRNA". It matches the Rfam family "Bacterial small subunit ribosomal RNA", at positions 28 to 462 of the family's 1533-position model. The record is from RNAcentral. Lineage: Bacteria; Bacillati; Bacillota; Bacilli; Lactobacillales; Enterococcaceae.
GACGAACGCUGGCGGCGUGCCUAAUACAUGCAAGUCGAACGCUUUUUCUUUCACCGGAGCUUGCUCCACCGAAAGAAAAAGAGUGGCGAACGGGUGAGUAACACGUGGGUAACCUGCCCAUCAGAAGGGGAUAACACUUGGAAACAGGUGCUAAUACCGUAUAACACUAUUUUCCGCAUGGAAGAAAGUUGAAAGGCGCUUUUGCGUCACUGAUGGAUGGACCCGCGGUGCAUUAGCUAGUUGGUGAGGUAACGGCUCACCAAGGCAACGAUGCAUAGCCGACCUGAGAGGGUGAUCGGCCACACUGGGACUGAGACACGGCCCAGACUCCUACGGGAGGCAGCAGUAGGGAAUCUUCGGCAAUGGACGAAAGUCUGACCGAGCAACGCCGCGUGAGUGAAGAAGGUUUUCGGAUCGUAAAACUCUGUUGUUAGAGAAGAACAAGGAUGAGAGU